RNAcentral lists this ribosomal RNA (972 nucleotides) under uncultured archaeon. RNAcentral describes it as "bacterial SSU rRNA". It matches the Rfam family "Archaeal small subunit ribosomal RNA", at positions 85 to 1058 of the family's 1478-position model. The record is from RNAcentral.
ACUGCUCAGUAACACGUGGACAACCUGCCCUUAGGUUGGGUAUAAACCCGGGAAACUGGGUAUAAUACCCGAUAGGUCUCGAUUGCUGGAAUGCAUCGAGAUUUAAAGCUCCGGCGCCUAAGGAUGGGUCUGCGGCCUAUCAGGUAGUAGUGGGUGUAGCGUACCUACUAGCCUACGACGGGUACGGGUUGUGAGAGCAAGAGCCCGGAGAUGGAUUCUGAGACACGAAUCCAGGCCCUACGGGGUGCAGCAGGCGCGAAAACUUUACAAUGCUGGCAACAGCGAUAAGGGAACCUCGAGUGCCAGGUUACAAAUCUGGCUGUCGAGAUGCCUAAAAAGCACUUCAUAGCAAGGGCCGGGCAAGACCGGUGCCAGCCGCCGCGGUAACACCGGCGGCUCGAGUGGUAACCGUUAUUAUUGGGUCUAAAGGGUCUGUAGCCGGCCGGAUAAGUCUCUUGAGAAAUCUGGCAGCUUAACUGUCAGGCUUUCAGGAGAUACUGUCUGGCUCGAGGCCGGGAGAGGUGAGAGGUACUCCAGGGGUAGGGGUGAAAUCUUGUAAUCCUUGAAGGACCACCAGUGGCGAAGGCGUCUCACCAGAACGGACCUGACGGCAAGGGACGAAAGCUAGGGGCACGAACCGGAUUAGAUACCCGGGUAGUCCUAGCCGUAAACGAUACUCGCUAGGUGUCGGCCACGGUGCGACCGUUGUCGGUGCCGUAGGGAAGCCGUGAAGCGAGCCACCUGGGAAGUACGGCCGCAAGGCUGAAACUUAAAGGAAUUGGCGGGGGAGCACCACAACGGGUGGAGCUUGCGGUUUAAUUGGAUUCAACGCCGGAAAUCUUACCGGGACCAACAGCAAUAUGAAGGCCAGGCUGAAGACUUUGCCGGAUUAGCUGAGAGGUGGUGCAUGGCCGUCGUCAGUUCGUACUGUGAAGCAUCCUGUUAAGUCAGGCAACGAGCGAGACCCCUACC